CACUGUAUUUUGUUCUUAAAAACCAGAAGUGCAUUUCAAUAAAAUUUUAUUCCUAUAUAAAGGAGAUAAUGGAUUAUGGCAUUUGUCUACUUUUAUUUGUAAUAUAUUACACAGUAAGAUGUUGUAUGCAGUUGUUGCUUUUGAUGAAGAAAAUAAUACAGAUUACCUACCACUAGUUUGGCUAGUCAAUGCUAUGAGUGAAAAUGUUUUAUUAAUAAUUUCCUCUAGAAAAUCAACAGAUUUUUAUUGGCCUCGCUGGACUAAUAUGAAAAAUUGACUAUGCAAAAUCAAUAUGUCAAGAACCCGAGGUUGGGUGGCUAAUAUUUUCAGGAAGAAUUUUGUCAACCGCAGACACAGAAUCCGAAGCGAAAGAAAAAUGUAGAUAUGCAGAAGAUACCUCAAAUGUUGAUGAAAUGUAUCUGAGAAAGCAGAAAAGUCAUUCUUGUUGUGAUAUUCAAGGCAAAUCUUU
This is a non-coding RNA of Hydra vulgaris (swiftwater hydra), 469 nucleotides long. The record is from RefSeq and is a predicted model, not a curated record. Lineage: Eukaryota; Metazoa; Cnidaria; Hydrozoa; Anthoathecata; Hydridae.